Molecule: ribosomal RNA, 278 nt
Filed under: uncultured bacterium
Lineage: Bacteria
Description: partial 16S ribosomal RNA
Rfam family: Bacterial small subunit ribosomal RNA
Source: RNAcentral
GAUGAACGCUAGCGGCAGGCCUAAUACAUGCAAGCCGAACGGCAAGUUGAGUAGCAAUACUUGACCUAGGGUGGCGUAAGGGUGCGUAACACGUAUGCAAUCUGCCCUCAACAGGAGGAUAGCUCCCCGAAAGGGGAAUUAACCCUCCAUGGGAUCUUAGAGUGGCAUCACUUAGAGAUUAAACCGCAAGGGGUUGAGGAUGAGCAUGCGCAUGAUAGUUAGUUGGCGGGGUAACGGCCCACCAAGACGAUGAUCAUUAGGGGAACUGAGAGGUUGAU